AGUCGAGGGGUAACGGAAGUAGCUUGCUACUAGACGACGACCGGCGCACGGGUGAGUAACGCGUAUGUAAUCUGCCUUGUACAGAGGGAUAGCCCAGAGAAAUUUGGAUUAAUACCUCAUAGUAUUACUGAAUCGCAUGAUUCGGUAAUUAAAGCUCCGGCGGUACAAGAUGAACAUGCGUGACAUUAGCUAGUUGGUAAGGUAACGGCUUACCAAGGCCACGAUGUCUAGGGGUUCUGAGAGGAUGAUCCCCCACACUGGUACUGAGACACGGACCAGACUCCUACGGGAGGCAGCAGUGAGGAAUAUUGGUCAAUGGACGCAAGUCUGAACCAGCCAUCCCGCGUGAAGGAUGACUGCCCUAUGGGUUGUAAACUUCUUUUAUAUGCAAAUAAACCUACUUUCGUGAAAGUAGCUGAAGGUAGCAUAUGAAUAAACACCGGCUAACUCCGUGCCAGCAGCCGCGGUAAUACGGAGGGUGUAAGCGUNAUCCGGAUUUACUGGGUUUAAAGGGUACG
This 518-nucleotide ribosomal RNA is filed under the name uncultured bacterium. RNAcentral describes it as "bacterial SSU rRNA". It matches the Rfam family "Bacterial small subunit ribosomal RNA", at positions 60 to 571 of the family's 1533-position model. The record is from RNAcentral.